This 406-nucleotide ribosomal RNA is filed under the name uncultured bacterium. RNAcentral's name for it is "partial 16S ribosomal RNA". It matches the Rfam family "Bacterial small subunit ribosomal RNA", at positions 30 to 526 of the family's 1533-position model. The record is from RNAcentral.
AUUGAACGCUGGCGGCAGGCCUAACACAUGCAAGUCGGGCGAGUGGCGGACGGGUGAGUAAUGUAUGGGGAUCUGCCUGAUGGAGGGGGAGAACUACUGGAAACGGUAGCUAAUACCGCAUACCAUCAGAUGACCCCAGAGGGGAUUAGCUUGUGGGUUAGGUAACGGCUCACCUAGGCGACGAUCCCGAGCUGGUCUGAGAGGAUGAUCAGCCACACUGGAACUGUGACACGGCCCGGACUCCUACGGGAGGCAGCAGUGGGGAAUAUUGCACAAUGGGCGCAAGCCUGAUGCAGCCAUGCCGCGUGUAUGAAGAAGGCCUUCGGGUUGUAAAGUACGUUCAGUCGGGAGGCGUUACCGACAGAAGAAGCACCGGCUAACUCCGUGCCAGCAGCCGCGGUAAUAC